RNAcentral lists this long non-coding RNA (279 nucleotides) under Carica papaya (papaya). RNAcentral describes it as "long non-coding RNA (CPAP_LNC010107)". Lineage: Eukaryota; Viridiplantae; Streptophyta; Magnoliopsida; Brassicales; Caricaceae. The record is from RNAcentral.
GAAACGGGUCGUCCACAUACCUCAUCCGGUAUGGGCGCCAAAACACAUAAGGUCUCCAUUUCCCGUCCGAUAUGAGAGACCACGUUUCCGGUAGGGUUCCCUACGGACCCGGUCCGUCCACCAUCUCCCAAGAUAUCUAGUUAGGCUAUCGACAUCAUCCACUUAUCAAUUCACAUACAUUUUUCUAUUUUUCUUGGUCUCAAUUAUCCAAUCAAACAUAAACACGUAAACCAGUAAUGAACACCAAAUAAGACAACAACGGGUUCACAAUAAUUCAAA